GGACAUUGCGUCUGUUGCCAUAAUUGGGCGCAUUUAUGGCCCGUUAUGGCGUAGGCUGACGGUGAGUAACGGUCGUAAAUCGACGAUUCAGGUAUGAAAAUCGCCUAUUUAGGGGCAAACUCGUCGAGUUUCAAGGGGCGAGAUGUACAGUCUACCAUACUACCGAUCUGGAUCCUAACUCGGCGACUUACCCCUAAAGUCGGCGAUUUGGUAGUCCAAUCGCGAUUUGCGGGUUAACUCGAUGAUUUAACGAUGAACGUGUUCCGCACCGUGGGAGCCUUCCGAGGGUCCGGCAUAAAGCGACGGAACCCUAGUCCUUAUUGAAGGGCGUUGUUGGGAGUGAUUGCCGUAAUCAGGCAUGUCUCACCAGUACCCCCCAUUGAAGAGAGCACAAGAAACAUGCGUGUAUCGCUAAUGGUCUCUCUCCCUCUGAGAGGGCAUGCCUUUUGGAGCUUCAAAGAGAUCGCAAUACUCUUGAACAAUAAAGGUGAGUUCCGGAUUUUCACAAUUCAGACUUUCAGUGUUCUUGUGCUCUUAUAGAUAACAUAGGUAGGCCUCAGUAGUGGAU
This 568-nucleotide long non-coding RNA is filed under the name Zostera marina. Its description in RNAcentral is "long non-coding RNA (ZMAR_LNC004554)". Lineage: Eukaryota; Viridiplantae; Streptophyta; Magnoliopsida; Alismatales; Zosteraceae. The record is from RNAcentral.